CAGCAGCCGCGGGAAUACGGAGGGUGCAAGCGUUAAUCGGAAUUACUGGGCGUAAAGCGCACGCAGGCGGUUUGUUAAGUCAGAUGUGAGAUCCCCGAGCUUAACUUGGGAGCUGCAUUUGAAACUGGCAGGCUAGAGUCUUGUAGAGGGGGGUAGAAUUCCAGGUGUAGCGGUGAAAUGCGUAGAGAUCUGGAGGAAUACCGGUGGCGAAGGCGGCCCCCUGGACAAAGACUGACGCUCAGGUGCGAAAGCGUGGGGAGCAAACAGGAUUAGAUACCCGCGUAGUCCCUGUCUCUUAUAC
Molecule: ribosomal RNA, 301 nt
Filed under: uncultured bacterium
Lineage: Bacteria
Description: partial 16S ribosomal RNA
Rfam family: Bacterial small subunit ribosomal RNA
Source: RNAcentral